Molecule: ribosomal RNA, 450 nt
Filed under: uncultured bacterium
Lineage: Bacteria
Description: partial 16S ribosomal RNA
Rfam family: Bacterial small subunit ribosomal RNA
Source: RNAcentral
GUGGGGAAUCUUCCGCAAUGGACGAAAGUCUGACGGAGCAACGCCGCGUGAGUGAAGAAGGUUUUCGGAUCGUAAAGCUCUUUCGUUAGGGACGAACGUGCUCUUUGUGAAUAAUGAGGAGUAAUGACGGUACCUAAAUAAGAAGCCACGGCUAACUACGUGCCAGCAGCCGCGGUAAUACGUAGGUGGCAAGCGUUGUCCGGAAUUAUUGGGCGUAAAGCGCGCGCAGGCGGGAUAUCAAGUCUGUCUUAAAAGUGCGAGGCUCAACCUCGUGAGGGGACAGAAACUGGUAUUCUUGAGUGUCGGAGAGGAAAGUGGAAUUCCAAGUGUAGCGGUGAAAUGCGUAGAGAUUUGGAAGAACACCAGUGGCGAAGGCGACUUUCUGGACGAAAACUGACGCUGAGGCGCGAAAGCCAGGGGAGCGAACGGGAUUAGAUACCCGAGUAGUCC